RNAcentral lists this long non-coding RNA (2517 nucleotides) under Patiria miniata (bat star). RNAcentral's name for it is "uncharacterized LOC119742412". Lineage: Eukaryota; Metazoa; Echinodermata; Asteroidea; Valvatida; Asterinidae. The record is from RNAcentral.
GUCUACAAGAUGAGAUGUAAUUACUCUGGACGAAGUUACAAUCGAUUCCGAAUCUCAAGGAACCGGAAGCAGGGAGGAGGACCGACGGAAGGACUGAUGACCUGCUUGCUGGGCAAGUCUUCACCAUUUCUUGAGAAAUGAAGGUCUACAAGAUGAGUUGUCAUUCUGGACGAAGUUACACUCGAUUCCGAAUCUCGAGGAGCCGGAAGCAGGGAGGAGGACCGACGGAAGGACUGAUGACCUGCUUGCUGGGCAAGUCUUCACCAUUUCUUGAGAGAUGAAGGUCUACAAGAUAAGAAGUCAUUCUGGACCAAGUUACAAUCGGUUUCGAAUCCCAAGGAGCCGGAAGCAGGGAGGAGGACCGACGGAAGGACUGAAGACCUGCUUGCUGGGCAAGUCUUUACCAAUUCUUGAGAGAUGAGGGUCUAGCUACAGGAUGAGUUGUCAUUCUGGACGUUCCGAAUCCCAAGGAACCGGAAGCAGGGAGGAAGACCGACGGAAGGACUGAUGACCUGCUUGCAGAGCCAAGUCUUCACCAAUUCUUGAGAUUCAUCUGGCUUUGAGUAAGCAGGAGAAAUGGUGACAAUAUACACACGGAGUACAGUCUUUCACCACUCCACUAUAAGUUUUACAAUGCUUAUUAUAUAGUUUCCUUCUGAUCCAUCGCUCCCAAGUAGGAUUUAGACCAUUUCACUCAACCGAAAGCACGAUUUAACAAACAAGUGUUUUAGGCCAUGGGUCAUGGAGAAGUUUAAAUGUGUGCUUAUAGAUCUCGGUAAAGCAUUUGAUUGUGUCGAUCAUGUAAAACUGCUGAACAUGUCAACUUCUUAACUCAAUUAGUUUAAGUCAUGGGCUUCAAUCGGUGGGCAUGGGGGGGGGGGGGAGGGCAAUUAGUCCCACAACUUUUUAAAGUGGGGGAGGGAGGUACAUAUCCCACGACAAUAUUCUCAACAAAAUCUCUGAAAAUAGCCUUACAGAGUUUCCUUAAAUGUAUACCUCCCUCACUAGCGGAUAUGUUUGCUAAGCUAAACUGGUUUCAAUGUUCUUAAGUCUAAAAAAGGCUAUUCUUGUUUUCAAAAGUCUGAACAAAAUGACUCCUUUGUGCACGACGAAUCUGUUAAAUUCGUGAAACAAGACAAUCAAGUAACAUGGCAUUGGAAGCCUCUUUCGCCCAAUAGACCUUUAACAUGCUGCUACCAUUUUAGUCUUUUUCCCUGUAUCCAAUAACAGUACUAAAAAGAUAAUGUUUUGUGCCAAUAUCUAGGAACCAGACUAAUUUUCCUUCCAGCCUCGCUUUCGUUGCGUUGAUUUGAAUGGGAAAAAUCAAGAUGGCCGCAACAUGGUAAUAGUCUAUUAAAAGGAGUGCUAGCGGCCAUAAGCUUCGCUGUGUGGAGAAAUUUGUAUGGAAUAAUUUACAUGACCAACUAAGAAUCAUGGAUUUCCUGCCGUAAAGCCAUUAGCCAGUGAUAUUUCUGCCACUAACACACUAGUUAAAAAAUGCGCUAAUCUACGAAGUUAUAAACUUGGUUGCCAUGGAAAUUUGGAGCCGGAUCGGGAAUUUCCCCGUGUUUUUUUCCCCAAAAGGGUUUUCGCGGGGUUUUCGCCCAUCUCGUAAUCAGCAAAUCAGUGCCUUUUACUAAAAUGUUUAAAGUGAACUUUAUAUUGUGUAAAUAUUCGUAUAGCACUUGUGUUUGUAUAAGUGUUUGUAUAAGUUUGUAUUAGGUAGUAUUCAAAUGAUUCCUAUGUACAUUUUUUUCUCGUAAAUUUUACUUUGCUUAACUUUAUAAUUUCUACUGCAUGCAGGGCCGGGUCCCAAUGUAAACUAGUUAAACGUUUGGGCAGGCCCCGGGCAACGAAAUUUAAUAAAUAAAUAGAGGAUUAGAAAGGGAAUCAUGAUAUUUCCAAUUUGUUGGUUUUAUUAAAAUAAAUCCACAAGUGGGGAAAACGAUAAUUCAUUUUCCGUCCGUCCAAAGUCCAUUUUUAUUUUUAGUGGCUUUCAAAUUAUUCCUCUUCGUACAUUUACACACUCGACAUUUAAUUUUAUUUUCUUCGUAAUACCAUAAUUUAUAUAAUGUAUAUUUUUAAUUACAGAUGUAGUGGCAAUUUUGCAGAUUAAACUUGAGUGAAAACUUGCUGUAUUAAAUAUUUAGUUGUGUCAGUAUCAAUCAACUCACAUCAAUCAAUCUAGUUUUAUUUCAUAACUUCAUAAUGAAAACAUAUAAAGUACGUAACUUAAUAGAUAAACAAAACAUAAAAGUAAAUGACAAAGAUAAGUAACAAAGAUAAAUGAAAAGCAGAGAAUCUAUGAGGAAGUUGUAAGAAGUCCAAGGACUUAUGAAACACUCCCUUUUAACCCCCCCCCCCCGAGAGAAAAUCCCAAGUGUUCCCUUUACGCCCAACUACCACACCCCAACCUAAGAUGUUCCAUUAACUUCAAGACAAGAAUGUAUGUAUAAAACAAUGUACAAUGUAAACACUGUGAGAGUGGUAAAGUAGUAAUAAACAAAAUAAACAAAA